GAUGAACGCUGGCGGCGUGCCUAAUACAUGCAAGUCGAGCGAACAGACGAGGAGCUUGCUCCUCUGACGUUAGCGGCGGACGGGUGAGUAACACGUGGAUAACCUACCUAUAAGACUGGGAUAACUUCGGGAAACCGGAGCUAAUACCGGAUACUAUCUUGAACCGCAUGGUUCAAUAGUGACAGACGGUUUUGCUGUCACUUAUAGAUGGAUCCGCGCCGCAUUAGCUAGUUGGUAAGGUAACGGCUUACCAAGGCAACGAUGCGUAGCCGACCUGAGAGGGUGAUCGGCGACACUGGAACUAAGACACGGUCCAGACUCCUACGGGAGGCAGCAGUAGGGAAUCUUCCGCAAUGGGCGAAAGCCUGACGGAGCAACGCCGCGUGAGUGAUGAAGGUCUUCGGAGCGUAAAACUCUGUUAUUAGGUAAGAACAAAUGUGUAAGUAACUAUGCACGUCUUGACGGUACCUAAUCAGAAAGCCACGGCUAACUACGUG
This 497-nucleotide ribosomal RNA is filed under the name uncultured bacterium. RNAcentral's name for it is "partial 16S ribosomal RNA". It matches the Rfam family "Bacterial small subunit ribosomal RNA", at positions 28 to 507 of the family's 1533-position model. The record is from RNAcentral.